This 253-nucleotide ribosomal RNA is filed under the name uncultured bacterium. RNAcentral describes it as "partial 16S ribosomal RNA". It matches the Rfam family "Bacterial small subunit ribosomal RNA", at positions 524 to 776 of the family's 1533-position model. The record is from RNAcentral.
GACAGAGGGGGCGAGCGUUGUCCGGAGUCACUGGGCGUAAAGGGCGCGCAGGCGGUGUGCUAAGUCUGGGCUGAAAGCCCCCCGCUCAACGGGGGGAGGCGUCGGCAGACGGGGAGGCUCGAGGUGCGCAGAGGGUGGUGGAAUUGCGGGUGGAGCGGUGAAAUGCGUAGAGAUCCGGAGGAACGCCAGUGGGGAAGCCGGGCGCCUGGCCGCAGGCUGACGCUGAGGCGCGACAGCGUGGGGAGCAAACCGG